RNAcentral lists this long non-coding RNA (1092 nucleotides) under Ornithorhynchus anatinus (platypus). RNAcentral's name for it is "lncRNA (ENSOANG00000046071.1)". Lineage: Eukaryota; Metazoa; Chordata; Mammalia; Monotremata; Ornithorhynchidae. The record is from RNAcentral.
GCCCCCGCCCCCCCCCCCGCCCGGACCGCAGCCUCGGGGACCAGCCGGACCGGACCGGACCGGACCGAGCCGAGCCGGCCCGAUCGAAGCCUCCUCCAAAGAAGGGAGGAUGGGGGCGGGAGGUGGGGCCUCGGGAGACCCCUUUGGAUCCGUCCAGCCCCGGGCGGGGAAGGAAGUGCGUCCCGAUGCCAAGACGGCCGGACGGCCGGACGGCUGGGCGGAGGGGGAGGAGGAGCAGGACGAGGACGAGGAGGCCGAGAGGAGGAGGAAGAGGACGAGGACAAGGAGGAGGAGGAGGAGGAGGGAAGAAGGAAGAGGAGGAGCGGGACCGAGCAGGCCGGAGUGGCCGUGCCCAGGGUCGGCACGCCUGCCCUGGGGCUCCUGCAGGUCCCCCAGCCCCGUCCGUGUAGAAGACAGGCCCGGGGGUCGCCCCCGGACCGACCCUCGUCCCCAGGUCCCUGGAGCGGAGGCAGCCGAGGCCGGUCCUGAGCAAGGCCCGCACCCUGCCCAGCAUCCCGCAGUCCCCGGGCCUCGGGCGGCUCCCGCCGCGGGACCCCGACCCCCCACCGGCGGACCCGAUGGAGGACCCCCGCCCCCGCCCCCGCCCCCGAGGACGCCCCGCCCCCGAGCCUCCGGAGACUCGCGCCGCGCCCUCUGCCGGUGAGUAGCGGCCCUGCCGCCCCUCCGCCCUCUCCCCUUCCCUCCCUCGUUCGUUCGUUCAUUCAUUCAUUCAUUCAUGCAUGCAUGCAUGCAUGCAUUCAUUCACUCACUCACUCAUUCACUCACUCACUCACUCACUCACUCACUCAUUCACUCACUCACUCACUCAUUCACUCACUCACUCAUUCAUUCACUCACUCAUUCUCACUCACUCACUCACUCACUCAUUCAUUCACUCACUCAUUCACUCACUCAUUCAUUCACUCACUCACUCAUUCUCACUCACUCAUUCACUCAUUCAUUCAUUCUCUCAUUCAUUCGUAUUUAUUGAGCGCUUACUAUGUGCAGAGCACUAUACUAAGCGCUGUAAUAAUAAUGUUGGUAUUUGUUAAGCACUUACUACGUGCCGAGCACUGUUCUAAGCGCUGGGGG